ACGAACGCUGGCGGCAUGCCUAACACAUGCAAGUCGUACGAAGGCUUCGGCCUUAGUGGCGCACGGGUGAGUAACACGUGGGAACCUGCCUUUCGGUUCGGGAUAACGUCUGGAAACGGACGCUAACACCGGAUACGCCCUUAGGGGGAAAGUUUACGCCGAGAGAGGGGCCCGCGUCCGAUUAGGUAGUUGGUGGGGUAACGGCCUACCAAGCCGACGAUCGGUAGCUGGUCUGAGAGGAUGAUCAGCCACACUGGGACUGAGACACGGCCCAGACUCCUACGGGAGGCAGCAGUGGGGAAUAUUGGACAAUGGGCGCAAGCCUGAUCCAGCAAUGCCGCGUGAGUGAUGAAGGCCUUAGGGUUGUAAAGCUCUUUCGCACGCGACGAUGAUGACGGUAGCGUGAGAAGAAGCCCCGGCUAACUUCGU
RNAcentral lists this ribosomal RNA (429 nucleotides) under uncultured bacterium. Its description in RNAcentral is "bacterial SSU rRNA". It matches the Rfam family "Bacterial small subunit ribosomal RNA", at positions 29 to 506 of the family's 1533-position model. The record is from RNAcentral.